Molecule: long non-coding RNA, 2449 nt
Organism: Lates calcarifer (barramundi perch)
Lineage: Eukaryota; Metazoa; Chordata; Actinopteri; Centropomidae
Exons: 2
Source: RefSeq, a predicted model, not a curated record
CAAAAAUAACCUUUGUUGUUUGAAGCAUCUGCACUGAGGAUUUGAUUUGUUUUCUUUGUAAACAGUAACUCUGGAUUUUGGACUGUAGGCCAGACAAAAAAAGGACAUCCUUGGUCUUUUGGAAGCUAUAAAAGGCCCAUGACUCCCUGAAACGACAGAGCAGUGAACACCCGCAACUUCAGGUUUCACAGCUCAUCCUACCUGAACUUCACUCCGCAGGCGAACACCUGCAGCAGGGACCACACCAUCCUGCAGGCGCCUCUCACCACGUCCCGGGGCAGGUCAGUCAUAAUACGAGUCUCAGCUGUGUGCUGGUCAAAUAUGUUUUCAGUCUGAAACGGGCAAACUAAAGAGUGAGAGUGACGGUGUUUUCUGGUGAUAAGUGAUGUGAUUUCCCUCCAUCUCCAGCAAACACAUCCCUUUCUGUUUAACAAUAGAUCACCUAAUGUGUCAUUUAAAAAAAGAGAAAUACAUUUCAGCACAUCUCAGAAUAAAUGUCUUUAUUGUUCCUACAAGUUCAUAUAUUAUUGAACAUUAUCCAAAUAAAUCAUUACUGUAGACACAAGCACAGAGUUUGGACGAACACAUAUUAAUACAACAGUAUGAGUGAAGCACAAAAAACAGAAAAUGAAAUUGUUAACAUUAAAGACGUGAAGACAGUGUUUUCGCGAUACAAUACAAAACAAUACAACAAUAAUAAUAUAUAACACAUAUAACAUUCAACGUUUAUUGAAAACUUAGUGAAACAACCUUUUUGCACAUAUUGAACCUGGAACUAAGAAGGCCUAUAGAUUAUUGCCUAUAAAACAACAUUAAUUAUGAAAUAAAAACAAUAAAUAAUAAAUAAAUAACAAUAAAGGAAAUGAAACCAGUUUAAUUAAUUUCUUAUGGCUCUAUCUGCAGUUUUUCCAGAGUAAUUUCAAGUGAAAACUACAGGCAAACAGCCAAAAGUUAUUUACGUCAAAGGAAAAUCAAAUGUCCUGUAGUAGCAAGAGGAAAAAAAAAAUGUAAAAAUGAAACUGCAUUAGAAACUGAAAACGUGAUGUUCAGUAGUCUGAGCCAUUUUCUGGGGAGGAGGAUAGUUGAAAGUUGACACAAGCAGUGUGUAAUACCAUAAGACUGCUGAUGAACGAGUGGAGCACGCUUUCCUGGCCCAUGAUUGACGUGCCAAAAUGAAAAUUCCCUCUCAGAGGUACUGAAUCAAUGCCAUGGGUUGUGGAAAUAGACAAUGCAGAGCAUUGCAAGUCAUCCCAAAGUUCAAAAUCAAAGCUGCACCAGUCCUGAAGAACGUAACCCCAUUCCCCACACACUGAAGAAUGUUGCCCCAGUGAGACGAGUCACUAUCAUGUUAGAAGAACAAGACAUUAAAAAAAAAUAAAAAAUCAACAAGGCCAUAAUCAAAGACCUUUGAAAGGAGUUUGGCUCUCCUAGAGAAUUACUGGGGGCUGUAAGAGCACCACAUAAUACAUCUUUUGAUGAUGCUGUUGUAAAGUAUCUAAAAUUCAUCUUGGUGCUCUCCAUAAUCAAACUCCAAGGCAAUCUGCAGCUCAUGAGGCUCAUCAUUCAAGUCCCACAAAAGACCAGUGGAUCCCUACAAACAGUUGACAUGGACAGCAUUGUUAAGCGUCUGUCUCUCCAAGAAAAUUACUGAAGGCUGCAACAGCAUCACAUGAUACAUCUUGUGAUAUCAAGAUGGUGGCACACAAGUACGCGGAGGCUCUGAGCUCUCUACUUCGGUGCUUUUUGUUUGUGCAGUUUGUGAUUGUUUGUGGUGUGGAUGUUUGUGUACGACAGAGUGAAUGGCACAAAAAUAUCAUAUACCCAAGCGAAGUUGCUGGACAUUGGAUUCGCUUGUCACACCGACAUCACAAGGGACACUUUUUUACAUCAAGACCUGCACUGGCAACGUUACAGCAGACAAGUUGAUUAGGGUUUACAAACACAGUUUCUCCAGGUUUGCCAAGUUUCUGGUGAGUCUCAAGCAGCCUUCAGGGAAGCUACAGGGGGAGACAUACCAGGAGCUGCUCCAGACAUGACCAGGGGUGAGAGUUUGAGUCCAACCAGCAGUACAGCAAUUGUGGGUCUCAUCAGCAGCGGAGAUGAGACAAACUACAGCCUGGACUGCUAUUGUACUGCUGUUUGCAUUACAUUUCGCUACUUUAACCUAUUAUGUGCGUUAGGACUUAUUGACCUGUUCCUGUGUUAUAGAUGUUUUUUUUUUAAUAUUUUUUAAAAAUAUUGUUUAACUUUGUGUAUGCUAUUUUUAUGUUUAUCAUUCUUAUUAUUAUUUUAAUAUAUACUUUGAAUAUAUUUUCAUUUGUGUAUACAUUUGUCUAUAUUUAUGUUUACCGUGCUGCACUGUGGCUCUAAGAGCAAUGCAGUUCCAAUCCUCUGUACGUGCGUACAUAUGGUAGAAUUGACAAUAAAGCUGACUUUGACUUUGACCUUA